UACAGAGGUCCCAAGCGUUGUUCGGAUUCAUUGGGCGUAAAGGGUGCGUAGGCGGCGCGGUAAGUCGGGUGUGAAAUCUCGGGGCUUAACUCCGAAACUGCAUUCGAUACUGCCGUGCUUGAGGACUGGAGAGGAGACUGGAAUUUACGGUGUAGCGGUGAAAUGCGUAGAUAUCGUAAGGAAGACCAGUGGCGAAGGCGGGUCUCUGGGCUGACACUGACGCUCAUGCACGAAAGCGUGGGGAGCAAACAGG
This 253-nucleotide ribosomal RNA is filed under the name uncultured bacterium. RNAcentral describes it as "partial 16S ribosomal RNA". It matches the Rfam family "Bacterial small subunit ribosomal RNA", at positions 524 to 776 of the family's 1533-position model. The record is from RNAcentral.